This 917-nucleotide ribosomal RNA is filed under the name bacterium W32. RNAcentral's name for it is "bacterial SSU rRNA". It matches the Rfam family "Bacterial small subunit ribosomal RNA", at positions 47 to 961 of the family's 1533-position model. The record is from RNAcentral.
AGACUUACCUGCAGUCGAACGGCAGCACGGGUGCUUGCACCUGGUGGCGAGUGGCGAACGGGUGAGUAAUACAUCGGAACAUGUCCUGUAGUGGGGGAUAGCCCGGCGAAAGCCGGAUUAAUACCGCAUACAAUCCACGGAUGAAAGCGGGGGACCUUCGGGCCUCGCGCUAUAGGGUUGGCCGAUGGCUGAUUAGCUAGUUGGUGGGGUAAAGGCCUACCAAAGCAACCAUCACUAGCUGGUCUGAAAGGACGACCAGCCACACUGGGACUGAGACACGGCCCACACUCCUACGGGAGGCAGCAGUGGGGAAUUUUGGACAAUGGGCGAAAGCCUGAUCCAUCAAUGCCGCGUGUGUGAAGAACGCCUUCUGGUUGUAAAGCACUUUUGUCCGGAAAGAAAUCCUUGGCUCUAAUACAGUCGGGGGAUGACGGUACCGGAAAAAUAAGCACCGGCUAACUACCUGCCACCACCCGCGGUAAUACGUAGGGUGCAAGCGUUAAUCGGAAUUACUGGGCGUAAAGCGUGCGCAGGCGGUUUGCUAAGACCGAUGUGAAAUCCCCGGGCUCAACCUGGGAACUGCAUUGGUGACUGGCAGGCUAGAGUAUGGCAGAGGGGGGUAGAAUUCCACGUGUAGCAGUGAAAUGCGUAUAGAUGUGAAGGAAUACCGAUGGCGAAGGCAGCCCCCUGGGCCAAUACUGACGCUCAUGCACGAAAGCGUGGGGAGCAAACAAGAUUACAUACCCUGGUAGUCCACGCACUAACGAUGUCAACUAUUUGUUGGGGAUUCCAUCUCCCUUAGCUACGUAACUACGCAUGUAAGAUUGACCGCCUGGGGAGGUACGUCGAUGAUAUAACUCAAGGAUUGACGGCGACCCCCACCCAGCCGAUGCAUGAAAGUUUUAAUUUAUUUCAUG